RNAcentral lists this small nuclear RNA (96 nucleotides) under Carlito syrichta (Philippine tarsier). Lineage: Eukaryota; Metazoa; Chordata; Mammalia; Primates; Tarsiidae. The record is from RNAcentral.
GUAGGAGACCUACUCUACUAAAAUUGGAAAAAAUACAGAGAAGAUUAGCAUGGUCCCUGACAUGACACAUACAUUUGUGAAGCGUUCCAUAUUUUU